GAAGCACAAGUCAAGAAGGCCGGACGAUUCAAACCAGCCCAGAUAUUGCGGGAUACGUAUUGUAAUCCAACUCAGAUUACCUUCCAUGUAACAACCGACUAGAUUAGAUUCAAACCGACUUGUAACCCUAGGUCACCAGCCUAUAUAAGGUGGCCAAGGGCGCCUCCCGAGGGCAUCCCAACACCUCAAUUCUCAAGCAAUACAAACUACCAAAAUACAUGGCAUACGGUAUUACUCUCCAGAGGCCCGAACCUAUCUAAAUCUUCAUGUUCUCGUGAUUAGCUUCGAGUUCUUGAUCUCAUAAUCCUCCCUACCUACAAAUCAACCACUUGGGUAACCCCUUGGUGUACUGCCGGGCUACUAAAUCCGACAAUCAGAACACACCUCAUGGGAUGAU
RNAcentral lists this long non-coding RNA (397 nucleotides) under Setaria viridis. RNAcentral describes it as "long non-coding RNA (SVIR_LNC011140)". Lineage: Eukaryota; Viridiplantae; Streptophyta; Magnoliopsida; Poales; Poaceae. The record is from RNAcentral.